AGCAGAGGCAGCAGAGGCAGACUGCCACGCACGCAUAAAAUAUGUGUUUUGUAUGCAUAAUUGAUUCUGGUUUUUGCAAAUUUCAUACCCUUUCAGAGGUGCUUGUCGAACGCCUUGUCAGCAUUAUCAGAACCGCGACUCCGCUGUGGAUUUACCCAGCCCCCAGGUCUCGUCGCCUUCGCGUGCUGUACUCGAACAUACAUUUUCAGUUUCUGGUUCUCUUUUUUGGCCCGUCUGUGACUAAUGCGAAAAGUACGAGUAUCUAAACACCCAAAGGCUGUCUGGACAGUGCGGAAAAGCCCCGCAAAAGGCGUUAAUUUUGUAUGAUUUUUCAACAUGAAACAAAGAAAAAAAAUAAACAACUUAAUUUGCCACUAA
Molecule: long non-coding RNA, 378 nt
Organism: Drosophila pseudoobscura
Lineage: Eukaryota; Metazoa; Arthropoda; Insecta; Diptera; Drosophilidae
Exons: 2
Source: RefSeq, a predicted model, not a curated record